UUUUACAAUGGAGAGUUUGAUCCUGGCUCAGGAUGAACGCUAGCUACAGGCUUAACACAUGCAAGUCGAGGGGAAACGACAUCGAAAGCUUGCUUUUGGUGGGCGUCGACCGGCGCACGGGUGAGUAACGCGUAUCCAACCUGCCCACCACUUGGGGAUAACCUUGCGAAAGUAAGACUAAUACCCAAUGAUAUCUCUAGAAGACAUCUGAAAGAGAUUAAAGAUUUAUCGGUGAUGGAUGGGGAUGCGUCUGAUUAGC
This 259-nucleotide ribosomal RNA is filed under the name Segatella copri. RNAcentral describes it as "partial 16S ribosomal RNA". It matches the Rfam family "Bacterial small subunit ribosomal RNA", at positions 1 to 245 of the family's 1533-position model. The record is from RNAcentral. Lineage: Bacteria; Pseudomonadati; Bacteroidota; Bacteroidia; Bacteroidales; Prevotellaceae.